CGUCGAAGGUGGGGCUGAUGACUGGGGUGAAGUCGUAACAAGGUAUCCGUACCGGAAGGUGCGGAUGGAUCACCUCCUAACAGGGAGACAACACAAUGAUUUUGAUGCCUGAGUGCUUUUAUUCUUAGGCCGAAAUCCUGUCACCUUAGGUCGAUCGGUACCUCAGCUUUGAAGUCAAGGAUCAGCAGCAAUGUUGAUUGCUUGAUGGAGAUUUUCAGUUCCUAAACUUUGUCUAGGUCACACCCCAAAAGGGAUGAGACUCCUGGGCCAUUAGCUCAGGUGGUUAGAGCGCACCCCUGAUAAGGGUGAGGUCCCUGGUUCAAGUCCAGGAUGGCCCAUUCGGUGUUGGGGGUUUAGCUCAGUUGGUAGAGCGCCUGCUUUGCAAGCAGGAUGUCAGGAGUUCGAGUCUCCUAACCUCCACUGACCGAACUUGAUUCCCAUCUCCAAUUCUUUUGGAGUUGAGCUCGAUUGGAGUGUGAUUUAGAUGUGUCCGCUGGAUGACCCCAGCUUCCUGUCAUUCCAAGUUUUAGGUUGAUGCCUUGAAUUUGGUUGAUAAGAUGCUGGGCUCAGAUCAAAUGAUUAAGCAAUUGAUGAUUUGAUUUGAAGUUCUAGCAGAACCUUGACAACUGCAUAGGUGAGUCUGGAAAAAAAC
RNAcentral lists this unclassified non-coding RNA (652 nucleotides) under uncultured Synechococcus sp. RNAcentral's name for it is "partial may contain 16S ribosomal RNA, 16S-23S ribosomal RNA intergenic spacer, and 23S ribosomal RNA". The stretch from base 348 to 420 matches the Rfam family "tRNA". Lineage: Bacteria; Bacillati; Cyanobacteriota; Cyanophyceae; Synechococcales; Synechococcaceae. The record is from RNAcentral.